This 1531-nucleotide long non-coding RNA is filed under the name Capsicum annuum. Its description in RNAcentral is "long non-coding RNA (CANN_LNC006803)". The record is from RNAcentral. Lineage: Eukaryota; Viridiplantae; Streptophyta; Magnoliopsida; Solanales; Solanaceae.
CUUAUAUCUCAACCUAAUUGGAAACACAGAAUACUACAUCUUACUCUUAAAACACGAUAGGAAUGAAUUAGGGAGCUGCUUUUAGUUCAAUCUUUCCCUUACAUGCCCUGUUCUCAAGUAAUUACCUAUUUAUGUCAACCUCUUAAAUAUUGGUUAUGUUGAUGACUGGUGUUGCACCCUAAAAAAACCUUAACUUAUAUACAUAUAAUGAUGACAAUGUAAAAUAAAGGAAUUUCUAACUGGCCCAAAUCUAAAUAGAUUGAGUCGAUCAUAAUUUUUUGGCCGAAUUUUGCCACCCACGGAUUUAAAAAAAAUUCACAUUGACUUCUACUGGUUUAACAACUUAGGUUGAGCAGUAUAGUUGGACAGAUAAAGAGGUUACUUUGUGCUAUAUUUGUCUUUGCUCUUUCUCUUUUGUAUUCUUAAUGCAAUCUGAAUACCUCUUUAAUUUCGGUGAUCUGCUUAUAGCUCAACUUAGCCGGAAACACAGAAUACUACAUCUUACUCUUAAAACACGAUAGGAAUGAAUUAGGCAGCUACUUUUAGUUUAACCUUUCCCUUACAUGAGAUUUAAGUACAUGAGAUUCUUAAAUAUCCUUUUUCUAUUUUGGUGAUUAAUUUUUUGUUGUCUGUGUCUUGUUAGCUGUUAGAACAUGAGAUUGUUGAAUACCUCUUUAAUUUUGGUGAUCUGCUUAUAUCUCAACCUAGCCGGAAACACAAAAUACUAUACCUUACUCUCAAAACAUGAUAGGAAUGAAUUAGGCAGCAGCUUUUAGUUCAAACUUUCCCUUACAUGUCCUGUUCUCAAGUAAUUACCUAUUUAUGUCAACCUCCUAAAUAAUGGUUAUGUUGAUAACUGGUGUUGCGCCCUUAAAAAACCUUAACUUAUAUACAUAUAAUGAUGACAAUGUAAAAUAAAGGAAUUUCUAACUGGCCCAAAUCUAAACAGAUUGAGUCGGUCAUAAUUUUUUAGCCGAAUUUUGCCACCUACGGAUUUAAAAAAAAUUCACAUUGACUUCUUCUGGUUUAACAACUUAGGUUGAGUAGUAUAGUUGGAUAGAUAAAGAGGUUACUUUGUGCUAUAUUUGUCCUUGCUCUGUUUCUUUUGUAUUCUUAAUGCAAUCUUUUGUCACUUUGCAAUCAACAUAUGUGUGUGGGAAAGUUGUCGUACUUUGUACCUCUUACUUAUGGUAUUAACGGAUAUUGUUGAUUUCUAUUGUUUCUUCUUCUUUUACUAAUCCUUGUGCAAAUUAUUUUAUUGUGACCCUAUAGUACACUAAGUUUGUAGCAUCAUUAGCGUCCUUAAAGUUGAACCAUAAUAUAUUAAUAAUUCAUCUUUCUCCUUGAUUAUUUUAUGACUCUUCUCUCCAAUUAACUAUUUAUCUCUACUUAUUUAAUCUAAAUAUGUUGAACUGCUCAUUUUACAACUUUCUCUUUUCGGUGAUAGCUAACUAAACGUCUGUGCCUACAUUAAAUUGUGUGGUAAGUACAACUUAUUUAAUUGUAAACAUGACGCUUCAUAACUUUUUGG